UGAGCCAUACUGGAGUGUGAGCUCCAGUUCUAGUCUGUUCAUUGUUGCAUUUCCCCUCAUCGUCUUAACUGUUUGAUCCCUCUGUCUUCUCACUUGUAAAACAGAGGUAGUGGUAAUACCUACUUUUUAUUUUAAAAAAGCCAAAACAUUAUUUCAUAAGCACUUAGUGUGUCAGGCACAGUUCUAGGAAACUAAUCCACUUGGUUCUUACAUUGACACCACAUGGUAGCUAUCAUUUACAAAUGAGGAAGCUGAGGCACAGGGAGGCAAAGCAACUUUUCCUGUAACACCCCGCUACUAAGUGGUACAGAUGGGCUUCAAAUUCGGCAAGCUGGUCCCAAGUUCACGCUCUUCACGCCUUCAGGCUGUUUCUCACCAAGCCACAGAGGGGUUGUUAGAGUUGCCCUUGGAACAGUGCCUGGCACACAGGGGCUGAUAGUGUUCUCAUGGCACACAGGUCACAGGGAGCCACUUCCUUCAUUUCGUCAAAAGCAGGCAUCUGACCCUUUUGGGGGAAGCUGAUGACAGCUCUGCUCCUCAGAUAUCUGCAUCUGCCAACCCCAACCCCAUCCACACAGCUCCUGCUCACUUGCCAAGGCUGGCACAGGCAGGUGUUUUUCUUUUGCAGUUAACUGUCCACCCUCCCCAUAGCCCAGAGGAAAGGCUUGGUGGUGCUGGGGAGGGGCUAAGGAUUGAACAAAGGUCAGGUGGGGCUCCCAGCAUUCCUUGGGAGGGCAGGUCCCACUGCCCCUCCCCAGCCCUCCUGACACACCUUCUCUCCCCACUAUAAAGUUUUGAGCCAACAGCGGGUUCGCCUGUGGCAGCACUGAACUUAAAGUACAGGGGACAUUUCCUGCGCCAAUCCACCCAACUUCUCUCCGCAGCCCUGGAGUCCACCUCCAAGAAGCCCAAGGGGGCAGGCCAGCACGGCCACAGCCAUGGCAGCUCCUCGGACUCUGACAGCAGCAGCAGCUCCAGCAGCUCUGACGUGGAGGCGAAGCCCCCCUAUGCAGGCUCAGGGACGCAAGGAAGCACCCCGAAAAAGGUCAAAAAGCCCAAGGUGAAAAAAGAGGUGAAGAAGAAGGCUUCCCACUGACAGGACUGGGCUUGGCUCAUUAAACCUCCUCUCAGCCUUC
Molecule: long non-coding RNA, 1136 nt
Organism: Hipposideros armiger (great roundleaf bat)
Lineage: Eukaryota; Metazoa; Chordata; Mammalia; Chiroptera; Hipposideridae
Exons: 3
Source: RefSeq, a predicted model, not a curated record